This is a long non-coding RNA of Culex pipiens pallens (northern house mosquito), 1406 nucleotides long. RefSeq lists it as uncharacterized. The record is from RefSeq and is a predicted model, not a curated record. The transcript is spliced from 3 exons. Lineage: Eukaryota; Metazoa; Arthropoda; Insecta; Diptera; Culicidae.
UCAUGAUUGCUUCUAUAUGCAAACUGCAUAUAACAAAAUCUAAAAUAAACGUAAUAAAACCUACAAGGUAUCUUAUUGAAUCCCAUGUGACUAAUAUAUAAUUUUGAUAAAUAUUCUUCAUAGAUUUUAUAUGCGUACUGCUCAUAACCGAGCUUGACUUCAUUUUGAUAAUACUUAUUGUUCUCGCAUAUACACUUCGUGAGCCGCACAUAUAAGUUUUAUAUGCGAGAUACUAUAAAAUUUUGCAGAAUGCUUUUUCUCAUGAGAUUUAUAUGCAAGGUUCACAACAUUUAUGAAUGUGCGCUCGAAUGUGUGCAUAAUCGUUUGCGCGUGAAUGUCUGUGUGUCAACCACAUCAACGAGCAGCAGCAGUCGCAUGCGGUCAGUCCUCGGGUUAGUCAUUUUGGAAGCGGUUCAUUUUUUCCGAAGAAAAAACGCCCCACAAACGAUUGAGCGGAAGUUUAACCCGUGCAAAUUAAAAAAAAUUUUAUAGUGAAAUUGGCUGUGGAUUCCGCGCUCCGCGAUGGCAGCUGGUUCCGGAACGAAGGGGGUCCAGAGCCGAACGAUUUCCCGCAGGCGAUCUGAUGAUCUGGCACGUGUCCUGUCCCGUGUACCUUGAGUGCAGCUGCGUAAUCGUGCGUGCGUAGGUUGUGAUCGGCUCAAACCGGUACACAGUGCUGUAGGUGGCCGGCAAGUUGCAUCCGGAGGUCUAGAAUCCAGAAGCGAAGAGCAACGAAGAUGGCCAGAAGGAUGUUCAGGGCAUGGUGCCGGCUGCAAUUGACCCGGAUAUGGGAAUGCUCAGCAAGGACAGCCGACAUCGUUCGCACACCGAAACAUCUCGAUCGAGGUUGGAUUCUUCCCGGAAGCCCUAUCGCCGGAAGUCACCUUAUGGCCAGCCAUUUACACGAAGGAAUCUUCGUCACGAUCAUCAAUAAAAGACCGCAAGAGUAGUUCCGGGGGGUUCCCGCGGCUGACUGCGGCUAUGACGUCAAGGACCGCACAGGAUAAGGACAAGGCAAGGACAAGGUCUUUUCACAGCCACGAGCAGCUCCGCUACAUGAACAAAAGAUGUGAUUCAGCAAAUAAAUACUACAAUAAAUGUAAAGAAGUGUUUAAAAAACAUUUAAUUUAAUUAUUAUCCGAAAAAAAGCAUCAACACAUUUCAACAUGACGAGUAGUUUAUAAUAAUGAAUUGCAUAGCUAUCAAAAAUCAUGCGUGCUAAACAUACAUGCUAUAUGCGGCUGCAUAUUGACGAAUCAUUUAGUUUGUAAGCGUUGCAUAUACCGUUCAGGUGCCGUGCACAUAUAUUUUAUAUGCGUGAGCAUAUUGCAAAUUCAUAUCCAUUUAUAUGCAAUGCUCAUACAGUUCAUGUACAGAGUCAUUCUGCAAAAAUCUAUAUGUGAAAC